AUCUUUUUCUAAAGAAGCUGCCCCACCCGUCACAAGGCAAUUAUACUCCUUGAUUAUCACUGUGAUUAUGUUUUCAUCACCUCAUUAUCCCGUCUCUUCCCUCUCUAGGUGAGCAGAUGCUUCGUGUAAUUCACCUGGCACUUCCUAGCAUGCAGUUGGAAUCCAAUACACGCACUUGUUGCAUGAAUGGAUGAAUGAAGGAACACCCCCAUGAUCUCGCUUGAACUGCAAGCCAACACUGUAAGAUAAAUGGCCCAUGAUGCUACGAUUAGAAAUCGGGGGAAGGGAGUUCUCGAGAGAGCAAAUUCUGCCAAGGAUUCACUAGAAGGCCUGGAGUGACAGUGACAAUCGCCUUGCUGAUCAGUAGGCUCUUCCUGCCCGCAGUCCUGUCUGCUCCCCUCAAAGGUUGUAACGAAAAGAGAUUCAAACCAGAUGUGGUCCUGGUGACUCUUGGUAGCCGAGGGUGGAACUGUGCUGUGAUAAUACCAUAUUAGUUUGGGGCAACAUAUCUAUCCACAGCCCCGGCCACAGAGCUAAGUGGUUGACAUUUCCAGGAACUAUGUCCCCACGCUUGAGUUCGGCGUUUGCAAGGGCCUCAGACCCUCACUGGACUUCUCAGUUUUCCGCGAAGGGGCUCGUUCUUCAGCCGUUGUCCGGCCCCUGUCUCCCAAACACACCCCCUGGGGAGAACCUCGCUCACAGGGCAAGGCCGGGACCCCAGUCACUCCCUUGGCGACACAGCGGAGGCCGAGUGGGAGGCAGGCGCACCCCAGAAGAGCCAGGCUCAGUGGGAGCCGAGGGAGCACGGCCCAAACAGCCCACGGGAUCACAGGCCACAUUGUUAUUACUUUUUAAUUAAAAUGGCGUCUUUCCCCCUUAUUACAAAAGCCAUGUCUGUUUAUUUUAGCAAAAUUAGACAGUCCAGACCGGCGAAAAGGAAAAAUUAAAAAUGACCCAUGACCCAGAGAGAGAGCCAUUGUUAGCACCCCAGGGUAUUCAGGGGUCAGAAACAAAAUGCACGGGGAGGUGGGGGGCCUGGCCAGUUAAUGUAAAUGUGAAUUGGAUGCUACUAAAAUUAAUAAAAAUGUGGGAAUCGCGUGGCAUUCAAAUGAAUACAAAGGUGUGAGUAGGGUGAAUUUAUAUGCAAAU
This is a long non-coding RNA of Felis catus (domestic cat), 1149 nucleotides long. RefSeq lists it as uncharacterized. Lineage: Eukaryota; Metazoa; Chordata; Mammalia; Carnivora; Felidae. The record is from RefSeq and is a predicted model, not a curated record. The transcript has 3 exons.